CCUACGGGAGGCAGCAGUGAGGAAUAUUGGUCAAUGGGCGCGAGCCUGAACCAGCCAAGUAGCGUGAAGGAUGAAUGCCCUACGGGUUGUAAACUUCUUUUAUAAAGGAAUAAAGUGAUGCACGUGUGCCUUUUUGUAUGUACUUUAUGAAUAAGGAUCGGAUAACUCCGUGCCAGCAGCGGCGGUAAUACGGAGGAUCCGAGCGUUAUCCGGAUUUAUUGGGUUUAAAGGGAGCGUAGAUGGGUUGUUAAGUCAGUUGUGAAAGUUUGCGGCUCAACCGUAAAAUUGCAAUUGAUACUGGAAGUCUUGAGUACAGUUGAGGUAGGCGGAAUUCGUGGUGUAGCGGUGAAAUGCUUAGAUAUCACGAAGAACUCCGAUUGCGAAGGCAGCUUACUAAACUGCAACUGACACUGAUGCGCGAAAGUGUGGGUAUCAAACAGGAUUAGAUACCCGGGUAGUC
This 460-nucleotide ribosomal RNA is filed under the name uncultured bacterium. Its description in RNAcentral is "partial 16S ribosomal RNA". It matches the Rfam family "Bacterial small subunit ribosomal RNA", at positions 338 to 795 of the family's 1533-position model. The record is from RNAcentral.